This 1154-nucleotide unclassified non-coding RNA is filed under the name Hevea brasiliensis (rubber tree). The record is from RNAcentral. Lineage: Eukaryota; Viridiplantae; Streptophyta; Magnoliopsida; Malpighiales; Euphorbiaceae.
GCUAUCUCCGCCUACCUUUUACUCCCUAUUUAAAUUGCUCACUCCAAUUCUCUCUCAGCUCCCGUCGUUAACUACCACCGCCGUCCGCCGGCGACUACGAUUUCCGCUGAAUUAUCGUAACGUCAACCCGAUCACCGGAAAUAUCCUUAAUUUGCGAAAUCUCCAGUGAGAAAAACAAUGUCGCACGCUAUUAACUUCUUUGUUUCGUCGCCUUCACGUUCGCCUGCAUCUCUCACAAUCUCAAGGCCUUCGGCGUUCGUAUCAACCGGUAGUUUACGUGUACCGGUGAAGAAAUCGUUGCGGAGUUUAGUUGUGAAAGCGUCGGCAGCGUCAGAUCUCGAUGAGUCACAGUCAUCUCCGGUGUUAGUGUCGGAGAAUGGUUCGGGAGGGGUGUUAUCAAGUGUGACGAAGGAGUAUGGUCGUAAUAAUGCGGUCGCAUCGUCAGCGGAUUCGAGUUCGAUUGAAGUGGAUACUGUAACAGAGGCGGAGCUGAAGGAGAAUGGGUUUAGGAGUACACGUAGGACGAAGCUGAUUUGUACGAUUGGUCCUGCUACUUGUGGGUUUGAGCAGCUGGAGGCUUUGGCUGUGGAAGGAAUGAAUGUUGCUAGGAUAAAUAUGUGUCAUGGAACACGUGAUUGGCAUCGUAUGGUAAUUGAGAGAGUUCGGAGGUUGAAUGAGGAGAAAGGGUUUGCUGUUGCCAUCAUGAUGGAUACUGAAGGUAGUGAGAUUCAUAUGGGAGACCUUGGCGGGGCUUCAUCUGCUAAAGCUGAGGAUGGUGAAAUUUGGAAUUUCACUGUUCGUGCAUUUGAUCCACCGCUUCCAGAACGCACCAUCACUGUUAACUAUGAUGGUUUUGCUGAAGAUGUAAAAGUGGGUGAUGAUCUUCUAGUAGAUGGUGGAAUGGUGAGAUUUGAAGUGAUUGAGAAAAUUGGCCCUGAUGUUAAGUGUCUUUGCACGGAUCCUGGACUUCUUUUACCUCGGGCUAAUCUGACAUUUUGGCGGGAUGGUAAAUUAGUAAGGGAACGCAAUGCUAUGCUGCCAACAAUUUCCUCAAAGGAUUGGCUAGACAUUGACUUCGGGAUUGCCGAGGGUGUAGAUUUUAUUGCUGUAUCAUUUGUCAAGUCUGCUGAAGUGAUUAAUCAUCUCAAAAGCUA